UGGGGAAUAUUGGACAAUGGGCGAAAGCCUGAUCCAGCCAUGCCGCGUGUGUGAAGAAGGUCUUCGGAUUGUAAAGCACUUUAAGUUGGGAGGAAGGGCAGUAAGCGAAUAUCUUGCUGUUUUGACGUUACCGACAGAAUAAGCACCGGCUAACUCUGUGCCAGCAGCCGCGGUAAUACAGAGGGUGCAAGCGUUAAUCGGAAUUACUGGGCGUAAAGCGCGCGUAGGUGGUUCGUUAAGUUGAAUGUGAAAGCCCCGGGCUCAACCUGGGAACUGCAUCCAAAACAGGCGAGCUAGAGUAGGGCAGAGGGUGGUGGAAUUUCCUGUGUAGCGGUGAAAUGCGUAGAUAUAGGAAGGAACACCAGUGGCGAAGGCGACCACCUGGGCUCAUACUGACACUGAGGUGCGAAAGCGUGGGGAGCAAACAGG
Molecule: ribosomal RNA, 429 nt
Filed under: Pseudomonadota bacterium
Lineage: Bacteria; Pseudomonadati; Pseudomonadota
Description: Proteobacteria bacterium partial 16S ribosomal RNA
Rfam family: Bacterial small subunit ribosomal RNA
Source: RNAcentral